GAUGAACGCUGGCGGCGUGCCUAAUACAUGCAAGUCGAGCGAACAGACGAGGAGCUUGCUCCUCUGACGUUAGCGGCGGACGGGUGAGUAACACGUGGAUAACCUACCUAUAAGACUGGGAUAACUUCGGGAAACCGGAGCUAAUACCGGAUAACAUGUUGAACCGCAUGGUUUAACAGUGAAAGACGGUCUUGCUGUCACUUAUAGAUGGAUCCGCGCCGCAUUAGCUAGUUGGUAAGGUAACGGCUUACCAAGGCAACGAUGCGUAGCCGACCUGAGAGGCUGAUCGGCCACACUGGAACUGAGACACGGUCCAGACUCCUACGGGAGGCAGCAGUAGGGAAUCUUCCGCAAUGGGCGAAAGCCUGACGGAGCAACGCCGCGUGAGUGAAGAAGGUCUUCGGAUCGUAAAACUCUGUUAUUAGGGAAGAACAAAUGUGUAAGUAACUAUGCACGUCUUGACGGUACCUAAUCAGAAAGCCACGGCUAACUACGUG
Molecule: ribosomal RNA, 497 nt
Filed under: uncultured bacterium
Lineage: Bacteria
Description: partial 16S ribosomal RNA
Rfam family: Bacterial small subunit ribosomal RNA
Source: RNAcentral